UGCAGACCCUCCUGGAGAUGACCACCAGCCUCCUGAACCAUGACCUGGACUGGUCCCUGUCGCACCUGUGGGCCGCCGUGAGCAGGGGUCUCCACCCUCGCCUGGACCACUGCAGCACCUGCCUGCAGCACUAUAGGAAGAAGCUGGAGGCAGACGACGAGAUCAUUAUCUUCAGAUUAAAGUGACAUCUGUUCAUAACACAACCUUUGGGGAUGCUCGUGGAAGAAAGUUGCUGUCAGUUCUGGCUCUAGACCCUCAGCAGACUCAAGCCUUUGACCAGCUCUGAUGCAUCUACAGGGGACCAGCCAGGGUAACAGUUAUUGUUAUUGCCAUUAUUACCUUGUAUUGCAGUGUAGGAAUGUCCAUAGAGUAUUGCCAUUACAAAUCCUAUCGGUAUACUUUAUUAUCAUUUAUUUCUUAGCAGACGCCCUUAUCCAGGGUGACUUACAAUUGUUACAAGAUAUCACAUUAUUUUUACGUACAAUUACCCAUUUAUACAGUUGGGUUUUUACUGGAGCAAUCUAGGUAAAGUACCUUGCUCAGGGGUACAACAGCAGUGUCCCCCACCUGGGAUUGAACCCACGACCCUCCGGGCAAGAGUCCAAAGCCCUAACCACUACUCCACACUGCUGCCCCACGUGCUGUGGCUGUAUACAGAAAUAGAUUUUCACUCUAAGCAUGUCUAGAAACAGGCUUAUUUUUCUUCUGUCAGAGCUGCAUAACUUACAUCAGACUUAACAGUUGAAUGUCACUGGCUUUGAGGUCACAUGUUGUGGCUGUGUGGUCCAGUGGUUAAAGAAAAGGGCCUGUAACCAGGAGGUCACUGGUUCAAAUCCUGGCUAAGCCACUGACUUGUUGUGUGACCCUGAGCAAGUCUCUUAACCUCCUUGUGCUCCAUCUUUCUGGUGAGAUGUUGUUGUAAGUGACUCUGCAGCAGAUGUAUAGUUCACACACCCUAGUCUCUGUAAGUUGCCUUGGAUAAAGGCGUCUGCUAAAUAAACAAAUAAUAAAAAACUGCCAGGUAAAAACACAACAGAUAGAAAGGGCAUAAUUGAAAAAGGACUCCUUGAGUGGAGCUUACUGCUAUUAUUUAUUAUUAUUUAUAUAUAAUCGAAACAAAACAGUUAAUCAUGUAAAUUUGCGUUGUAUGUAUUUAUAUUAUCACCUGUUCUGUAUUUCUCCAUAUCAGAGGGUUGCUCUAGCUAAGAACGAGUUGCUCUGUCCUGUAUUUAACAUCACUUCCCACAGUGUUGAUUCACCCACAUCCAGCUGUCCUUGUUAUCUUAAUAAGGACAAUGAGGCUCCUGACCCCUGGCGCACUGUGUUCAGUGAGGUGUGUGUUUUCCCUGACUGGUGUCAGUUCUGGCUCUAGUUUAAGUGCUUUACUGUGUGAUCUCUGCCAUAGUGUUCUCAUGAGUCUUUGUAUUUAUCAGCUGCAUGCUAUUUUAACAUUGCUAUUUGGGAACCUUCUAGAUCUCCGGGACUAACACCUGAGAUAAUAUAACAAGGAGGUCUUUAGUGAAGCACUUUCAUUUCCUAUACUUUGUAUUAUGACCUUCAGAAAGCUCAAUGUAACACAAAACCACAGCAGAAGCAUAGCAAUCAAUAAAGUUAACAUACAGAAACAAGCCAGACAGGCCAAUAUUUAUUACUGCUAUGUUUGUGUUUUUUUGCUGUGGUGAUUAUAGAGCACUUUAUAUUGGUAUUCAUUUUCACAGUGACCUGAUGUGUUAGAUAAUUUCAUUCCACUGGUAUAUCUUUUGUUUUUUCAUCCUGAUGGAAAAGUGGAAUUAAAAUGGCUUUUGAAGCUUUUUAGUCUUGAUAAUAAAGUUUUUUUUUUGUUUUGUUCUGUUUUGUUUUUUGCCGCUCAUAAAACUGAAUUGGUAUCUCUCCCAUGAAUUGUCCCCCAUUAAAAUGGAAGUCAUUAUAAAACUAGUUUAGGCAUACAGUAAAAGUGUGUAAAUUGCUUUUAUCCCACUAGCAUUAGUAUAAUUUGCUUUUUUUUCCAUGGUGGGAGAUAUUUAUGUCACUUUAAGCUGUUCAUGUUUAAAAAAAACAUAAUGAGAUCAAUCGACAUGAAUAAGAUUGAGUUUGUUUCAAAUUUAGUAAUCGAUUGUGAUAUUUCCAAACGUAGGACUGGUAUCAACAAGCAGGGCUUGUGUGGUCUGGCUGUUUCCAGUUUACCCAUUUCUGAAAUGCCUUGUUUCUAAUGUAUACACAUAUAUUUUAAAAUCUGAAAUCAAAUGUGAAAAUGAGUCGCAUCAUAUUGCAGCCAAGUUUUCAAAGGGUUUGAGUUUACUACGUGCUGGGAUUACUAGAGAGCUAAUUUAACAGUUGUUUGAUAUAUUUAGAACUGGAGAUAGAGGCCUUAAUCCUGAAUACAGCUUUUGUCUUGAUAAGAGCAAAUCGGAACUGUAAAACUGAAACACUUAAUUCUAAAAUAUGUCGCAAUACUAAAAGAAACUUGGUAUAUUAGGAUUGCUACAUCCCAUGCAAUAAUGAGAAGAAUCAGUAAUUUUGAUUUGUUGUGAUGUGCCUUCUGAUUUCUGGAUUAUUCUAACGUCACAUCAAUGAUAUUUCAUGUGGGAAUACCUGGAAGGUUGAAACCAGAACCCCUUAUCGUCUUUGGAAUCAUGUCCCUGUUAAGGCAAAGUAUCCUCUAAUUAUGUAAAUCUGGUCCAUGUUCCAGGUCAUAUGUUCCAGACCAGUUAUGUUUUUUCUUUUUUUCUUAUUAAUGUAAGAAACUGGGUUGUAUUUACUUGUUAAUUGGGAGAGUGACGUGGUAAUCGCUCGGUCAUGUGCUGUGUGUUUUUGGGACUGUGCCUGUAUUCCCAUUAAUAUUGGCCAAUUUGUUGUGAAAUGACCCUGAAGUAGAAUAGCAUCAUUCUUCUCAUUAGUAUAGGAAGUGUGGAGUAAUGGUUAGGGCUCUGGACUCUUGACCAAAGGGUCGUGGGUUCAAUCCCCAGUGGGGGACGCUGCUGUACCCUUGAGCAAGGUACUUUACCUAGAUUGCUCCAGUAAAAACCAAACUGUAUAAAUGGGUAAUU
Molecule: long non-coding RNA, 3047 nt
Organism: Acipenser ruthenus (sterlet)
Lineage: Eukaryota; Metazoa; Chordata; Actinopteri; Acipenseriformes; Acipenseridae
Exons: 3
Source: RefSeq, a predicted model, not a curated record